RNAcentral lists this ribosomal RNA (1374 nucleotides) under metagenome. Its description in RNAcentral is "bacterial LSU rRNA". It matches the Rfam family "Bacterial large subunit ribosomal RNA", at positions 1514 to 2875 of the family's 2925-position model. The record is from RNAcentral.
UAGCGUGUAGGCGUGCUGCAUAGGCAAAUCCGUGCGGCUUAGCCAAGGCGUGAUGACGAGGAUCUUCGGAUCUGAAGUGAGUGAUACCCUGCUUCCAGGAAAAGCCUCUAAGCUUCAGUUACAGAUUGACCGUACCGCAAACCGACACAGGUGGGCAGGAUGAAAAUUCUAAGGCGCUUGAGAGAACUCAGGAGAAGGAACUCGGCAAAUUGAUACCGUAACUUCGGGAGAAGGUAUGCCUCGGUAGCGUGAAGCCCCUGCGGGUGGAGCGUGAUGAGGUCGCAGAGAAUCGGUGGCUGCAACUGUUUAAUAAAAACACAGCACUCUGCAAAGGCGAAAGCCGACGUAUAGGGUGUGACGCCUGCCCGGUGCCGGAAGGUUAAGUGAUGGGGUGCAAGCUCUUGAUCGAAGCCCCGGUAAACGGCGGCCGUAACAAUAACGGUCCUAAGGUAGCGAAAUUCCUUGUCGGGUAAGUUCCGACCUGCACGAAUGGCGUAAUGAUGGCCACACUGUCUCCUCCUGAGACUCAGCGAAGUUGAAAUGUUUGUGAAGAUGCAAUCUCCCCGCGGCUAGACGGAAAGACCCCAUGAACCUUUACUGUAGCUUUGCAUUGGACUUUGACGGGACUUGUGUAGGAUAGGUGGGAGGCUGUGAGGCGUGGUCGCCAGAUCGCGCGGAGCCAACCUUGAAAUACCACCCUGGUGUCGUUGAGGUUCUAACCUUGGUCCGUGAAUCCGGAUCGGGGACCGUGCAUGGCAGGCAGUUUGACUGGGGCGGUCUCCUCCCAAAGAGUAACGGAGGAGUACGAAGGUCUUCUAAGCACGGUCGGACAUCGUGCUCAUAGUGCAAUGGCAAAAGAAGGCUUGACUGCGAGACCCACAAGUCGAGCAGGUGCGAAAGCAGGUCAUAGUGAUCCGGUGGUUCUGUAUGGAAGGGCCAUCGCUCAACGGAUAAAAGGUACUCUGGGGAUAACAGGCUGAUUCCGCCCAAGAGUUCAUAUCGACGGCGGAGUUUGGCACCUCGAUGUCGGCUCAUCACAUCCUGGGGCUGUAGCCGGUCCCAAGGGUAUGGCUGUUCGCCAUUUAAAGUGGUACGUGAGCUGGGUUUAAAACGUCGUGAGACAGUUUGGUCCCUAUCUGCCGUGGGCGCUGGAUAUUUGAGGGGACCUGCUCCUAGUACGAGAGGACCGGAGUGGACGGAUCUCUGGUGUACCGGUUGUCACGCCAGUGGCAUCGCCGGGUAGCUAAAUCCGGAAGAGAUAAACGCUGAAAGCAUCUAAGCGUGAAACUCGCCUCAAGAUGAGAUAUCCCGGGGGUUCAACCCCCCUGAAGGGUCGUCCAAGACCAGGACGUUGAUAGGUCGGGUGUGGAAGUG